GAUGAACGCUGGCGGCGUGCCUAAUACAUGCAAGUCGAGCGAACGGACGAGAGGCUUGCUUCUCUGAUGUUAGCGGCGGACGGGUGAGUAACACGUGGAUAACCUACCUAUAAGACUGGGAUAACUUCGGGAAACGGGGGCUAAUACCGAAUAAUAUUUUAAACCGCAUGGUUCAAAAUUAAAAGACGUUCUUGCUGUCACUUAUAGAUGAAUCCGCGCUGCAUUAGCUAGUUGGUUAGGUAACGGCUUACCAAGGCAACGAUGCAUAGCCGACCUGAGAGGGUGAUCGGCCACACUGGAACUGAGACACGGUCCAGACUCCUACGGGAGGCAGCAGUAGGGAAUCUUCCGCAAUGGGCGAAAGCCUGACGGAGCAACGCCGCGUGAGUGAUGAAGGUCUUCGGAUCGUAAAACUCUGUUAUUAGGGAAGAACAUAUGUGUAAGUAACUGUGCACAUCUUGACGGUACCUAAUCAGAAAGCCACGGCUAACUACGUG
This 497-nucleotide ribosomal RNA is filed under the name uncultured bacterium. RNAcentral describes it as "partial 16S ribosomal RNA". It matches the Rfam family "Bacterial small subunit ribosomal RNA", at positions 28 to 507 of the family's 1533-position model. The record is from RNAcentral.